Daphnia carinata is the source of this 648-nucleotide long non-coding RNA. RefSeq lists it as uncharacterized. The transcript is spliced from 2 exons. NCBI's taxonomy places the organism in Eukaryota, Metazoa, Arthropoda, Branchiopoda, Diplostraca, Daphniidae. The record is from RefSeq and is a predicted model, not a curated record.
GAUGUUUCACCGCUGAGCCCAUCUCAGUAAAAAUCCGGUUUCGGCGAAAGGUAACUCCUUCUUCUUUGGCAAAUUCCCUCCGGGAGUUCCAAUGAAGGUAUAUAAACCACCGUGCGACCUAAUCGUGUCACAAAGAAAGUCAAAGCCAUCGAACAAACACCGUUAAGAAAAGAGAAAUCUCUUUAACUCAAUCGCCAUGAAGGUCAUUUUUCUCCUUUUCGUUUUUGCUAUUUGCUGUUCGGCGAUAGCUGCGGCACCACAACUGUUUGAGUCGAAGCCUAGUAUUUAUGCCAACAUCGGUGCAAAUAUCGCCGAUUUAGAGACUGCAGAAGCUAUUCCAGGCCGCCGAUAUUACACCGGUAGCCGAAGUCGUAGCUCCUAUGGAUCACGAUCAUACCAUCGUACUAUGCAUCGUGGAUAAAGCGACCACUUUCUUUCCCUCUUGCCGGACUAUUUGCAUACUUCUUUCUUCGCACAAUUUUGUGCGAAGCAAUUAGUGCAACCACGACCUUAUUAACUUUAAAUUAUUUACCUCCACCGAUAAUGUUUGCGUCUCAGCAGAAAGAUCGCCUACAUUGUACAUUAUUUUUUUUCUUUCCUGUCACUACCUUUAACGUAUAAAUAAAAGCAUCAGCAAUUUUUUAAAAA